RNAcentral lists this ribosomal RNA (451 nucleotides) under uncultured bacterium. Its description in RNAcentral is "partial 16S ribosomal RNA". It matches the Rfam family "Bacterial small subunit ribosomal RNA", at positions 354 to 796 of the family's 1533-position model. The record is from RNAcentral.
GUGGGGAAUAUUGCGCAAUGGGGGAAACCCUGACGCAGCGACGCCGUGUGAGGGAAGAAGGCUUUCGGGUCGUAAACCUCUGUCAGGAAGGAAGAACCUCUCAAGGCUGAACAAGCCUUGGGACUGACGGUACUUCCAGAGGAAGCACCGGCUAACUCCGUGCCAGCAGCCGCGGUAAUACGGAGGGUGCAAGCGUUAAUCGGAAUCACUGGGCGUAAAGCGCGCGUAGGCCGCUUUGUAAGUCGGACGUGAAAGCCCUCGGCUACACCGGGGAACUGCGUUCGAUACUGCGAGGCUUGAGUCCUGGAGAGGGUGGCGGAAUUCCGGGUGUAGGAGUGAAAUCCGUAGAUAUCCGGAGGAACACCGGUGGCGAAGGCGGCCACCUGGACAGGUACUGACGCUGAGGCGCGAAAGCGUGGGGAGCAAACAGGAUUAGAAACCCGUGUAGUCC